GUGCUGGCUUCGGUGGCACAUGCACUAAGAUUGGAACGAUACAGAAGAUUAGCAUGGUCUCUGCACAAGGGCAGCACACAAAUUCCUGAAGCGUUCCAUAUUUUU
Small nuclear RNA from Artibeus jamaicensis (Jamaican fruit-eating bat), 105 nucleotides. The record is from RefSeq and is a predicted model, not a curated record. NCBI's taxonomy places the organism in Eukaryota, Metazoa, Chordata, Mammalia, Chiroptera, Phyllostomidae.